UAGGGAAUCUUCGGCAAUGGACGGAAGUCUGACCGAGCAACGCCGCGUGAGUGAAGAAGGUUUUCGGAUCGUAAAGCUCUGUUGUUAGAGAAGAACGUUGGUAGGAGUGGAAAAUCUACCAAGUGACGGUAACUAACCAGAAAGGGACGGCUAACUACGUGCCAGCAGCCGCGGUAAUACGUAGGUCCCGAGCGUUGUCCGGAUUUAUUGGGCGUAAAGCGAGCGCAGGCGGUUCUUUAAGUCUGAAGUUAAAGGCAGUGGCUUAACCAUUGUACGCUUUGGAAACUGGAGGAGUUGAGUGCAGAAGGGGGGAGUGGAAUUCCAUGUGUAGCGGUGAAAUGCGUAGAUAUAUGGAGGAACACCGGUGGCGAAAGCGGCUCUCUGGUCUGUAACUGACGCUGAGGCUCGAAAGCGUGGGGAGCAAACAGG
Molecule: ribosomal RNA, 429 nt
Filed under: Bacillota bacterium
Lineage: Bacteria; Bacillati; Bacillota
Description: Firmicutes bacterium partial 16S ribosomal RNA
Rfam family: Bacterial small subunit ribosomal RNA
Source: RNAcentral